GCUACGGUGGGCAGCAGUGAGGAAUAUUGGUCAAUGGGCGCGAGCCUGAACCAGCCAAGUCGCGUGAGGGAUGAAGGUUCUAUGGAUCGUAAACCUCUUUUAUAAGGGAAUAAAGUGUGGGACGUGUCCUAUUUUGUAUGUACCUUAUGAAUAAGGAUCGGCUAACUCCGUGCCAGCAGCCGCGGUAAUACGGAGGAUCCGAGCGUUAUCCGGAUUUAUUGGGUUUAAAAGGUGCGUUGGCGGCCUUUUAAGUAAGCGGUGAAAGUCUGGGGAUCAACCAUAGAAUUGACGUUGAAACUGGGGGGCUUGAGUUUGUUUGAGGAAGGCGGAAUGCGUGGUGUAGCGGUGAAAUGCUUAGAUAUCACGCAGAACCCCGAUUGCGAAGGCAGCCUGCCAAGCCAUGACUGACGCUGAUGCACGAAAGCGUGGGGAUCAAACAGGAUUAGAUACCCCAGUAGUC
This 460-nucleotide ribosomal RNA is filed under the name uncultured bacterium. Its description in RNAcentral is "partial 16S ribosomal RNA". It matches the Rfam family "Bacterial small subunit ribosomal RNA", at positions 338 to 795 of the family's 1533-position model. The record is from RNAcentral.